GAUGAACGCUGGCGGCGUGCCUAAUACAUGCAAGUCGAGCGAACAGACGAGGAGCUUGCUCCUUCGACGUUAGCGGCGGACGGGUGAGUAACACGUAUGUAACCUACCUAUAAGACUGGGAUAACUUCGGGAAACCGGAGCUAAUACCGGAUAAUAUUUCGAACCGCAUGGUUCGAUAGUGAAAGAUGGCUUUGCUAUCACUUAUAGAUGGACCUGCGCCGUAUUAGCUAGUUGGUAAGGUAACGGCUUACCAAGGCAACGAUACGUAGCCGACCUGAGAGGGUGAUAGGCCACACUGGAACUGAGACACGGUCCAGACUCCUACGGGAGGCAGCAGUAGGGAAUCUUCCGCAAUGGGCGAAAGCCUGACGGAGCAACGCCGCGUGAGUGAUGAAGGUCUUCGGAGCGUAAAACUCUGUUAUUAGGGAAGAACAAACGUGUAAGUAACUGUGCACGGCUUGACGGUACCUAAUCAGAAAGCCACGGCUAACUACGUG
Molecule: ribosomal RNA, 497 nt
Filed under: uncultured bacterium
Lineage: Bacteria
Description: partial 16S ribosomal RNA
Rfam family: Bacterial small subunit ribosomal RNA
Source: RNAcentral